UAGACCUACGGGGGGCAGCAGUGAGGAAUAUUGGUCAAUGGGCUUACGCCUGAACCAGCCAAGUCGCGUGAGGGAAGACUGCCCUAUGGGUUGUAAACCUCUUUUGUCAGGGAGCAACGCCGGCUACGUGUAGCCGGACUGAGAGUACCUGAAGAAAAAGCAUCGGCUAACUCCGUGCCAGCAGCCGCGGUAAUACGGAGGGGGCAAGCGUUAUCCGGAUUCAUUGGGCGUAAAGCGCGCGCAGGCGGGCC
RNAcentral lists this ribosomal RNA (251 nucleotides) under uncultured bacterium. Its description in RNAcentral is "partial 16S ribosomal RNA". It matches the Rfam family "Bacterial small subunit ribosomal RNA", at positions 334 to 581 of the family's 1533-position model. The record is from RNAcentral.